Molecule: long non-coding RNA, 749 nt
Organism: Drosophila gunungcola (fruit fly)
Lineage: Eukaryota; Metazoa; Arthropoda; Insecta; Diptera; Drosophilidae
Exons: 2
Source: RefSeq, a predicted model, not a curated record
UCAAAAUUGUGACUCCCCUGCACAGGUAAGCAAGUUUGGUUUUAGGUAAAAUAAACAUAAAAAAAAACUCAAGCUUUGAAACUAGUUUUUCAACGCUCGCAGCUGAGAGUUAUAUUCAACUGGUUUGUUCGAUCUAGGCAGCUCACUGGCCAGAGAGCUCUGAAGAUAAAGAGAUAUAGAUGGUCCCAAGCUCAGGGCCCUUGGUUGAACGAACGCAUAACUGAGUUGUGGGUUUGCCUGUGUUUUAUUUACAUGUACCGACAAUGCAAACAUAUAAUGUUGAUCACGUCACGACACCCCACAUAUAAGUACUGCCCCUAUAGCUUUCUUUGCGAUUGCUGUUGGCUAGCCCACUUUAGAGCAGGUUUUUUAUGGACUGCACGCUAUUUCACUCGGCUCGCUUCCCUUAUUAUGUCUCAAAUAAUGCAUGGUAAUUUUAAUUUGAUUACGCGUUUGAGGUGCACACACAUUCUAAGUGGAUUCUCUCAACGCAGAAUAUUAAAUAAGCAACUAAUUGCUACGGCUGCUACUCGCUUUGAGUAUAAAGUACAAAAGUAUAUGGAUGUGUCGUGCCUGUUACGCCCAUAAAUGAAAUUAUAACAUUACGCAAAUCCAAAGAAUUGACGUCCUCACUAUACAGCACUACAUGGAUAAAUAUUUUAUCUCAAUUGAUUUCGCAGUUCGAUAUAUAAUUGUUUAUUUAUAACCGUAAUAAAUCAGCGAACAGAUUUCUUGAGGAAACUACUAUA